This 247-nucleotide ribosomal RNA is filed under the name uncultured Gardnerella sp. RNAcentral describes it as "partial 16S ribosomal RNA". It matches the Rfam family "Bacterial small subunit ribosomal RNA", at positions 107 to 355 of the family's 1533-position model. The record is from RNAcentral. Lineage: Bacteria; Bacillati; Actinomycetota; Actinomycetes; Bifidobacteriales; Bifidobacteriaceae.
UAGAGUAAUGCGUGACCAACCUGCCCCAUGCUCCAGAAUAGCUCUUGGAAACGGGUGGUAAUGCUGGAUGCUCCAACUUGACGCAUGUCUUGUUGGGAAAGUGUUUAGUGGCAUGGGAUGGGGUCGCGUCCUAUCAGCUUGUAGGCGGGGUAAUGGCCCACCUAGCUUCGACGGGUAGCCGGCCUGAGAGGGCGGACGGCCACAUUGGGACUGAGAUACGGCCCAGACUCCUACGGGAGGCAGCAGC